GUCGAACGGGCUCUUCGGAGCUAGUGGCGGACGGGUGAGUAACGCGUGAGGAUCUGCCUUCAGGAGGGGGAUAACGACUGGAAACGGUCGCUAAUACCGCAUAUGCCUACGGGUGAAAGAUUUAUCGCCUGGAGAUGAACUCGCGUCAGAUUAGCUAGUUGGUGGGGUAAGAGCCUACCAAGGCGACGAUCUGUAGCUGGUCUGAGAGGAUGAUCAGCCACACUGGGACUGAGACACGGCCCAGACUCCUACGGGAGGCAGCAGUGGGGAAUUUUCCGCAAUGGGCGCAAGCCUGACGGAGCAAGACCGCGUGCGGGAUGACGGCCUAAUGGUUGUAAACCGCUUUUCUCUGGGAAGAUGAUGACGGUACCAGAGGAAUCAGCCUCGGCUAACUCCGUGCCAGCAGCCGCGGUAAUACGGAGGAGGCAAGCGUUAUCCGGAAUUAUUGGGCGUAAAGCGUCCGUAGGUGGUUAUUCAAGUCUGCAGUCAAAGCGUGGGGCUUAACUCCAUAGAGGCAGUGGAAACUGGAUGACUUGAGUGCGGUAGGGGUCGAGGGAAUUCCCAGUGUAGCGGUGAAAUGCGUAGAUGUUGGGAAGAACACCAGUGGCGAAAGCGCUC
Molecule: ribosomal RNA, 618 nt
Filed under: uncultured organism
Description: bacterial SSU rRNA
Rfam family: Bacterial small subunit ribosomal RNA
Source: RNAcentral